Molecule: ribosomal RNA, 433 nt
Filed under: uncultured bacterium
Lineage: Bacteria
Description: partial 16S ribosomal RNA
Rfam family: Bacterial small subunit ribosomal RNA
Source: RNAcentral
AACGAACGCUGGCGGCAUGCCUAACACAUGCAAGUCGAACGAUGCCUUCGGGCAUAGUGGCGCACGGGUGCGUAACGCGUGGGAAUCUGCCUUUCGGUUCGGAAUAACUCAGGGAAACUUGAGCUAAUACCGGAUAACGUCGCAAGGCCAAAGAUUUAUCACCGAAAGAUGAGCCCGCGUAGGAUUAGCUAGUUGGUGAGGUAAAGGCUCACCAAGGCGACGAUCCUUAGCUGGUCUGAGAGGAUGAUCAGCCACACUGGGACUGAGACACGGCCCAGACUCCUACGGGAGGCAGCAGUGGGGAAUAUUAGACAAUGGGCGAAAGCCUGAUCCAGCAAUGCCGCGUGAGUGAUGAAGGCCUUAGGGUUGUAAAGCUCUUUUACCCGGGAAGAUAAUGACGGUACCGGGAGAAUAAGCCCCGGCUAACUCCGUG